Long non-coding RNA from Melanaphis sacchari, 118 nucleotides. RefSeq lists it as uncharacterized. The record is from RefSeq and is a predicted model, not a curated record. NCBI's taxonomy places the organism in Eukaryota, Metazoa, Arthropoda, Insecta, Hemiptera, Aphididae. The transcript is spliced from 2 exons.
GUGAUUAUGAAGAAGAAUGCUUUUCUACAAGUGAUGUUGAAAUUAUGGAACCAGAAAUUAAAUCGAUGACGAAAUUGACCGGACAAAAAAGGAAAGAUGUGAAAAAUAGAAAAACGUU